RNAcentral lists this unclassified non-coding RNA (477 nucleotides) under Hevea brasiliensis (rubber tree). Lineage: Eukaryota; Viridiplantae; Streptophyta; Magnoliopsida; Malpighiales; Euphorbiaceae. The record is from RNAcentral.
GGAACAAAGAAUGAAAAUUACCAUUCAACUGGGUCGCUAACAAAAAUUCAUCAUCUCCAAUGGCGAAAGAAUUCUAAAUGGUCCUUUAAAUAAAGCCUGAAAUUCCCGAGUUCACUGAUGAAUUCAAGCAAUAUUAACCCUCCCAAAGCCUAAAAUACAAACCAUGAAACCUAGAAUCCGACAAGAAAUCCGCACACUAAAUAAAUAAUAUAUCCCUAUCGCCCAAAACUUUCCACGAAAGAAUAAAAUCCUCAAAAAGAAGAAAAAUAUAUAUACUUACGUAGGAAACAACCAAAGCUCCUUCGAGCAAAAACACCCAGAAGUGAAAACCCUAGAUCGAAUCGAAGCUAAAUAAAUGCAUCGACCCGAACAACUCAAAUACAAUGUGCGAUAAAACCCUACUAAGGAGGUUUAUCCUUCACCAGAAAUCCAAUUCUAAAUCUGGAUCUCGCGCCCAAGCUUUUGAUUCGUACAAAC